Molecule: ribosomal RNA, 496 nt
Filed under: uncultured bacterium
Lineage: Bacteria
Description: partial 16S ribosomal RNA
Rfam family: Bacterial small subunit ribosomal RNA
Source: RNAcentral
AUGAACGCUGGCGGCGUGCCUAAUACAUGCAAGUCGAGCGCACGGACGAGAAGCUUGCUUCUCUGAUGUUAGCGGCGGACGGGUGAGUAACACGUGGAUAACCUACCUAUAAGACUGGGAUAACUUCGGGAAACCGGAGCUAAUACCGGAUAAUAUUUUGAACCGCAUGGUUCAAAAGUGAAAGACGGUCUUGCUGUCACUUAUAGAUGGAUCCGCGCUGCAUUAGCUAGUUGGCAAGGUAACGGCUUACCAAGGCAACGAUGCAUAGCCGACCUGGGAGGGUGAUCGGCCACACUGGAACUGAGACACGGUCCAGACUCCUACGGGAGGCAGCAGUAGGGAAUCUUCCGCAAUGGGCGAAAGCCUGACGGAGCAACGCCGCGUGAGUGAUGAAGGUCUUCGGAUCGUAAAACUCUGUUAUUAGGGAAGAACAUAUGUGUAAGUAACUGUGCACAUCUUGACGGUACCUAAUCAGAAAGCCACGGCUAACUACGUG